AUUGAACGCUGGCGGCAGGCCUAACACAUGCAAGUCGAGCGGCAGCGGGAAAGUAGCUUGCUCUUUGGGUGGCGAGUGGCGGACGGGUGAGUAAUGUCUGGGAAACUGCCCGAUGGAAGGGGAUAACUACUGGAAACGGUAGCUAAUACCGCAUAACGUCGCAAGACCAAAGUGGGGGACCUUCGGGCCUCACACCAUCGGAUGUGCCCAGAUGGGAUUAGCUAGUAGGUGGGGUAAUGGCUCACCUAGGCGACGAUCCCUAGCUGGUCUGAGAGGAUGACCAGCCACACUGGAACUGAGACACGGUCCAGACUCCUACGGGAGGCAGCAGUGGGGAAUAUUGCACAAUGGGCGCAAGCCUGAUGCAGCCAUGCCGCGUGUAUGAAGAAGGCCUUCGGGUUGUAAAGUACUUUCAGCGGGGAGGAAGGCGGUGAGGUUAAUAACCUUGCCGAUUGACGUUACCCGCAGAAGAAGCACCGGCUAACUCCGUGCCAGCCGCCGCGGUAA
This 507-nucleotide ribosomal RNA is filed under the name uncultured bacterium. RNAcentral's name for it is "partial 16S ribosomal RNA". It matches the Rfam family "Bacterial small subunit ribosomal RNA", at positions 30 to 523 of the family's 1533-position model. The record is from RNAcentral.